CAAAUAAUUUUCAUCGUCUCCCCCCAAAAUCAUCUCCACCAACCAAUCUUCGUCCAACCUAACGCCAGCAGCUCCUACUCAUUUUAGGGUCACCGUCUACCAUAAAUCCACCAUGAUUAAGGAAACAACCCAACAAUCUCAUGUGACCUCUGCUACGACAAAAAAGCAAAGAAAGAAAAAUCAGGCAAAAGUACUUUUUGUCUAUAAUUACACAAUCUAUAAAUAAUAGCAAACUCAUAAUACCAAAUUCAAAGCGUACAGAAAAUUUCACCUUAUAAAGUAAAAAUUCACGAAGAAGCAUGCACUGCAAUCAUUAGAAUUAAAGAAUGAGAAAAGAAUCAAAUUGAAUUCGUGCAGAAGUAAAUGAAAAAAAAAUCUGGAAGAAGAAGAGGAAAUAAAACAAAAACGGCAAAAAAAUUCCUUUUUCCGGUGAUGUUUGAUUUUUCCGGCAAAUACCUUGUUAUGGCUUAUCAUAAUUUCUUUCCACGAAGUUUGAUUUUUCCGGCAAGAAUUACUUUUAACUUAGGCUAAAUUGAUUUGAGUAAAAAAAGAUUAAAUUUGGUAUGAUGAUUAAAAAAAAGGGUGUUUGUGAUGAAGGAGAGGGGAGGCCGUGAAGAAGAAGAUGAGGGGAGGGGAAAUUCUGCGUUUGGGAAUUGAAAAAUUAU
Molecule: long non-coding RNA, 665 nt
Filed under: Nicotiana benthamiana
Lineage: Eukaryota; Viridiplantae; Streptophyta; Magnoliopsida; Solanales; Solanaceae
Description: long non-coding RNA (NBEN_LNC005149)
Source: RNAcentral